GAACGCUAUGAGCCUCCAUACAGUGCCCAUUCAGCUCACUCUCCGGGACCGCCUCAGGGAGCCUCUUAAACUUCACAGACGUAUUCAUCAGUUGGCUGGGACGGUGACAUGACGCUUGAGUGCUUGCUAACUCUGAUCUGUACCGGCUAGCAGAGGACAAGCAAGGGGACUACCUUUUUCCAAGAGAGAAAUCUAAAUUUGUGGACGGAGUGGAGAUCCCGGUACACAUAAUUGGUGAUGCAGCCUACCCGUUACGACAAUGGCUCAUGAAGGGGUUCACCCAACAUGUCCAGCUGAGCCCCAAUCAAAUUACAUAUACGCACACCCUGAGCUCGGCAAGAAUGGUGGUCGAAAAUGCCUUUGGACAAUUAAAAGGACGUUGGCGCUGUCUUAUGAAGCGCAAUGAUGUAGAGAUUAAUAUCAUCCCUAACAUUGUUGCAGCAUGUUGUAUUCUGCAUAACCUAUGUGAAUUUCAGAGGGAGGAAUUCCUACCAGAGUGGGCAGUGCAGGCCUCCACUGCGUGCCCUGCACUUGAUUGUGAGGUCUAUCUGGGCGACCAUUCUGGAAGUGCAGAACAGAUGAGGUCUGCUAUAAUGGCCAACCUUCCCUCAUUAUUCAGUUAAGUUUUCUCAGUUUGUAUAUUCUGUUAAUUGUUGUUGCUACAAAAAAUAGACCUGUUUAGUUGACAUUCUGCUACUGUGUUGAUAACAAAUGUACAACAUCAAUAUCCAAUUUGAAAUGGAUGUAUCAAGCAUUUUGUUUGUAAGUAAAAAUAGGACAAGUCCAAAGACUAACAAAAGGUCAGAGACCUUAGAAUUUUAAUUUGUAUAAAACUUUGGUAAAUAAAGUAGUGAAAUAUUUACAGUAAUAAAAAUCAAACCAGUAAAAGUGUAGGAAAAACACUCCUAUGAUUUUAAAACCAACUUUUUUUUAAAAACAAUAACCAUUUAAGAUAAAUUACGGUAAACAGGAGACUCUGUAGUUGUCUCCGUUUCAGAAGGUGAUUGGGUGUGUUGAGGUUGUGUAUGUCGAGGAUGGGUAUAGUGAGUUGGAGUUAGUGGAGGUGGGUAGAACACUACUUUUCCCUCAGAACACCUAAGUUCCUUCAGGCAUGGAUUCAUCAAGGUGCUGGAAAUAUACUGUAGAGACCCUGGUUCAUGAUGACAUGAUAGUAUCAUGCAGUUACUGCACAUUAAUAUGCUGUGCAUUCAUUCUUUGAAUCCCCUAUUCUGCCACAUUCCAAAGGGACUCUUUUGGGUUGAGAUUGAUUGCUAAGGCCAAUGGAAAACACCAAACUUAUUGAUGGGUUUUAUAUUAUCGGUUCCAAUUUCUUAUAACUGGUAGGAUUUCAGUGAAAUUGUCACUAUAUAAGUGUGCUUUGUUACAAGGAACUGUUUCUGGAUUUAAGGCAAAUCCUUCACAAAUAAGUCUGUAUGUAUGUAUGUAUGUAUGUGUUAAAGGGUAUAUCUAUUGGCUGUGGUUGUUUGUACUCCCCUCCUCCCUCUGGGGGGCUCUGAUAGUCACACAAAAUAACCUUUAUACCAGUAAUAAUUGUUAUAAUUAAUUAUUGGGAUAUGAUACAAUACUUCUCUCCAUUCCAUAUUCUUACAUGUGAUACUACUUCAUCUGUGACCUUCUGACUAGUAUUCACUAGCCAUUCCAUGCAGUCUAAUUAUAUAUAUUUGUCUUAUACCACAACAUCCCACAAACAGAAGGUCCCAGCUGAUACGCAUUAUGUGUCUCAACUAGAGUCCCAUGUGAGCUACACAUGCAAAUUCUCCACUAUUGCCUGGGCCAAAACCACCCAAAUAUUACUCCUUGACAAAAUCCGUCAAGAAACCUCGUUAUAUCGCUAUAUUGCAUUAUACAUAUGACUUAAACAUUCAAAUCAUUAUUACCCUCAGUUGUAAUGAACCAAAGACCGUAUAAAGUAUAAAAUAGUUUACUCCAUAAACAGUAACUGCAAUGUUAUAGAUUACUUACAUGUGGAUAGUUACAAAUAAUGCAAUAUAGAUAACCAGGUCAGAUACACAAUACAGUUUAAAAACUCAGAAGUGAAUUCCUAACUUGAUCCCAGUAAUGUAUUACCCCAUUAUGUUGCUAAAUAAACUUCAAUGCAGAUUCUAGGUAUUCCUUGCUAGUAUAUGAUCUUGGUGUACGUGCAGAUAUAUGUGUGUGUGUGAAUGUAUGAAUGCAAGAAAGAUGUGCUAGUGUUAUCAGAUUGUGCUCUUCCCUGUGUACAUGUGUUUAACGAUGCGUGUAGAUGGCUGUUCCAGAAAGCAUGGUGAGAAACGUGUGUGUGUGCAGAGCCGGCUCUAGGCAUGUUCGAAUAGAGCGGCCGCGCAGGGCGCCACCCUUAAUGGGCGCCGCGCGCUGGCGCCGCCAUAUUCGAAGCUGGAGCCGGCCCUGUGUGUGUGUGCAGCGCAGCGUUGUCCCCGCCGUCCGUGUGUGCGGCAUGCGCUGCGUGGCGCCGGUGUCUAACGUCAGACGCCGGCACCGCGCAUAGCGCACACAAGUGGCCGCCCGCCCACCCGUACUCGGAUCCUCACUCUCCCACCCGCCAGCACUCCCGCCAGCACUCCUCCUCCUCCUCUCAGACUCAGCGCCUCAGGUAUUUGGUGGUGGGGGGGGUCAAACAUUUAUGGAUCGCACUGUG
This is a long non-coding RNA of Pseudophryne corroboree (corroboree frog), 2656 nucleotides long. RefSeq lists it as uncharacterized. The record is from RefSeq and is a predicted model, not a curated record. NCBI's taxonomy places the organism in Eukaryota, Metazoa, Chordata, Amphibia, Anura, Myobatrachidae. The transcript is spliced from 3 exons.